This is a small nuclear RNA of Hyla sarda, 184 nucleotides long. RefSeq annotates it as U2 spliceosomal RNA. The record is from RefSeq and is a predicted model, not a curated record. Lineage: Eukaryota; Metazoa; Chordata; Amphibia; Anura; Hylidae. The transcript has a single exon.
CUCGCUUCUCUGCUUUUUGGCUAAGAUCAAGUGUAGCAUCUGUUCUUAUCAGGUAGUCCACUGGUGGGAAUGGAUGGCUACAUGGAGGAGCAGGUGUACCAGGGCAUUCAGGGGCUGGUGCCCCGAACCCUGCUCAAUGGGUGCCCUGAUGUGACCUGUUUCCUCUGGGUCCCUCCUUAAGGCC